Molecule: long non-coding RNA, 1196 nt
Filed under: Setaria viridis
Lineage: Eukaryota; Viridiplantae; Streptophyta; Magnoliopsida; Poales; Poaceae
Description: long non-coding RNA (SVIR_LNC002463)
Source: RNAcentral
UUGCAGCUAGCUUGCAGGAGGUCGGCGAUCGGCAAGGAUGAAGAUUGCGAUCGCCUUCGUGCUGCUGUUUUCUCUCCUCGCCGUCUCGUCCACGGCGGAGAAGUUCGAUUUCUUCUACCUGGUACAGCAGGUGAUGAACGAUUUCAGAGUAUUCAUAAUUCAAUACUUUCUGCUUCUAGUUCGACUUUCUAUAUGUAAUCGAAUUCGAGCUUUUUGAGAUGUUCAAGGUUCCCCUACUCAAUUCUUCCGAAUUUCGAUUAUUAGUACUCAGGAUCCUCUGUUUUCGAUCGAUUAUCUAACAAAUCUUUUAAUGAAAGUAUCGAUCCACCGUGACCAUCGAUCAAUAUCUAGACAUGCGUCUGUACAUAUUAUCCGAACGCGUUGCAUGCAUCGCCGGGUGGUCUGAAUUUAACCAGCCACACGGCCGACGAGUAUCUAACGACGCGUUCCCCGGUGCAUGCAGUGGCCGGGCUCGUUCUGCGACACGCGGCAGGGCUGCUGCUUCCCGGACGCCGGGAAGCCGGCGGCGGACUUCGGCAUCCACGGGCUCUGGCCCAACUACGCCAAGUGCCGGGGCAGCCAGCUUCAGGGCCUCGCCCGCGCCGUGCUUGGCGAGGACGCCGCCGCCUUGUUCUCCGCCGUGGGGCGGCGGGGCAGGUGCUGGCCGGAGUACUGCAACGACGGCAACACGCUGAGCCCGUGGGAGAUCCGGGACCUGGUGGCGUCCCUGGACAGGAACUGGCCGACGCUGUCGUGCAAGAGCGGGCGCAGCUUCGAGUUCUGGAGCUACGAGUGGAAGAAGCACGGCACCUGCUCCAACCUCGAGCAGCACGAGUACUUCGCGCGCGCGCUGGAGCUCAAGGCGGCGCACAACCUGACGGCGAUCCUCGCCGGCGCCGGGAUCGUGCCGUCGAACACGGAGACAUACUCACUGAGCAGCGUGGGGGACGCCAUCGCCCAGGGGACCGGGUUCACGGCGAACCUCGAGUGCAACCGCGACGCCGACGGCGAGGCGCAGCUGUUCCAGGUGUACCUGUGCGUGGAUCGAGAGGUGAAGCAACUCAUCGACUGCCCGCUGUCCAUGCGAAGCAAGUGCACCGACCGGGUCAAGCUGCCAGUCUUCUGAUUGCUGCAUGCCCGCAUGCAUAUGGGCCAGUCGACUCCCCGCGCGUGCGUGUUUUAGAGCGGAUAUGAAU